This 627-nucleotide ribosomal RNA is filed under the name Triticum aestivum (bread wheat). RNAcentral's name for it is "partial small subunit ribosomal RNA". Lineage: Eukaryota; Viridiplantae; Streptophyta; Magnoliopsida; Poales; Poaceae. The record is from RNAcentral.
AUGGGGGCUCCCCUCCCCAUCCAUGCCGCCACCAAGGCAUGUGCCGAGGUUGUAAUGGAAGCUGUUAUUAAGCUGCAUAAUAUCCAACACAAGGGGGUUGCAGACUUGGUGACAGAAGACAACCCCUUGCUGUCGCUCUCCUUCUCAUCCACGCCCCUUGCUGAUGCUGCCCUCCUUCUCAUUGGUGGCCUCAUCUUCCUCCUCCCCAUCGGCGGUUGCGACCAAGCCAUCACCAAAGGCCCCCCCAACAGAAAGUGGUUUGUUGUGUUCCGCCUCGUCCUGGCCUUCGUCCGUUUUGUGCUCAACAUGGUCUUCCUACGUAGGCUGAGUCCACGGACCUGCAGGUAUAGAAAACUCAAGACCAGAAAACUACAAAGGAAUACAAUUGAUUGUACAGUACCAGCCUAUGGGGUUGUAAAACAGACGAAGAGAAGCAUGCGGGGCGUUCGAAGCGUAGGUGUGAAAAGCUUUGUUACCGACGAGACUGUAAUGGUUCUUGAUACUAUGUUGGAUCAUCUUGGAAUUCCUAGAGCUAUUUACCGGAGAAGGAUGUACUCACAGAACACAUUGACUGUCAAUGUGCUUUUCUACUGGAGAAAGAUGCACGCAUUUGAGUAUUUCUGUUAG